This 347-nucleotide unclassified non-coding RNA is filed under the name soil metagenome. RNAcentral's name for it is "partial contains 5.8S ribosomal RNA, internal transcribed spacer 2, and large subunit ribosomal RNA". The stretch from base 1 to 120 matches the Rfam family "5.8S ribosomal RNA", at positions 35 to 154 of the family's 154-position model. The record is from RNAcentral.
GAUGAAGAACGCAGCGAAAUGCGAUAAGUAAUGUGAAUUGCAGAAUUCAGUGAAUCAUCGAGUCUUUGAACGCACAUUGCGCCCCCUGGUAUUCCGGGGGGCAUGCCUGUCCGAGCGUCAUUGCUGCCCUCAAGCACGGCUUGUGUGUUGGGCCGUCGUCCCCCUCCUAGGGGACGGGCCCGAAAGGCAGCGGCGGCACCGCGUCCGGUCCUCGAGCGUAUGGGGCUUCGUCACCCGCUCCGUAGGCCCGGCCGGCGCUUGCCGACGACCAUCAAUCUCUUUCUCCAGGUUGACCUCGGAUCAGGUAGGGAUAGCCGCUGAACUUAAGCAUAUCAAUAAGCGGAGGA